CAGUCGCCACGGUAAAACGAACCGUGCGAACGUUAUUCGGAAUUACUGGGCUUAAAGCGCGUGUAGGCGGGUCGGCACGUCGGUCGCUGAAAUCCCCCGGCUCAACCGGGGAGGGUUAUUGGAAACUGGGAAACUUGAGUGCAGAAGAGGAGAGUGGAAUUCCACGUGUAGCGGUGAAAUGCGUAGAGAUGUGGAGGAACACCAGUGGCGAAGGCGACUCUCUGGUCUGUAACUGACGCUGAGGAGCGAAAGCGUGGGGAGCGAACAGGAUUAGAUACCCCAGUAGUCCCUGUCUCUUAUA
Molecule: ribosomal RNA, 301 nt
Filed under: uncultured bacterium
Lineage: Bacteria
Description: partial 16S ribosomal RNA
Rfam family: Bacterial small subunit ribosomal RNA
Source: RNAcentral